This 414-nucleotide ribosomal RNA is filed under the name Triticum aestivum (bread wheat). Its description in RNAcentral is "partial small subunit ribosomal RNA". Lineage: Eukaryota; Viridiplantae; Streptophyta; Magnoliopsida; Poales; Poaceae. The record is from RNAcentral.
AUGUCCCUCAUAAUGCAUCCAACCUCAUCAUAUCCACCGUAUUGCAUGCACAUAAUAUCCAUAAUAUGGUGUUUUAUGAUCCCAGAUUUUUCCAUGUCUGCAAUGUCCGCUUUCUGCUCAUCGCUAAUUCUUCUGUGUGAACGCAAAAGACACGACAGAUCCCGUGGGGCUAGAGGAUGGUUGUGUUCAUUAUUGAAAUCCUUGACAAACCACUGGCCUGUUUCCUCUUGUCUUGCAAUCACCAAUUUAGCUUUACACCCUACACGAGUUAUACUCCGUGCCUCCUCUUUCUAUCUUCCAUCUUCCACUUCAUGUGCUUCUCUUCAUGAACCCCUUCACGAAUACACACAAAUUUCCUUAAAAUUAUAUGGCAGUUGGAUCCAUCCCACUCGACAUAGCUUCUCCGGACACUAA